AAUCUCAAUGACUAUAUUGUGUUUCUAAUCUUCACUGCAGAUAUGCUCCUGAGAUUACUUGUGCUUUCGGUUUUUCACCAUUACCUGGUGUCACCCUUCUUUAACAGAAGCAUUCUUAUUUUGAUUCCAAAGUUUCUAGAUUCAAACCUAAGUUGAGCACAUUAAGUUGGGCUGAUACUUCAAGAAUACAAUGUGCCAUCAGCUGCCAUCUUUCAGAUAAGGUCAACGUAAAACUUGUCAUGGUACUGUUCGCAGAAUUACAGGGACAUUCUGAUAUCCCGGCAACAUUUAUUUCUGAACCAAUGCCACUACAGUAAUAAAAAUUCUAAAUACAAUCGUAAAAUGAGAUAAAUGAUUACUUGUUUGUAGAACAUUGCUCUGUGAAAAUUCACUUGCAGUGUUUCUCUAUGAUAGUGGUUAGAUUCGGAGGUACCUAUUUGCCUGUGAUUUGUGAUGUACUGAAGCAUUGUAUAAGUACAAAUUUGUUUUUCUUACCAGCUUGAAGAGGUAUUAUUUUCAAACUUAGAAAUGUUCAGUGUUUUUUGUUAUUUUUAUAUGAGCUAAUAGCUAAUAUUCACACAUGUAAUGAAGAACUAAACUCAAUUGCAAGCAAAUGGACUCAACUAGCAGUAUUGUUAAUUUUCAUAGUGCAUACUUUUCAACUUUGGGUAAACCUCACAUUGUAGCUUUGUUAUUUUAAAGUUUCUGGGACCUUCAUUCCUUUCUCUUAAAGUAAUUUUAUUUCAUUUAAGUUACUGGAUUUGGUUAUUUUAAAGGCAGAACUAGAUGUUUGCUUCCUGUAAGUUCAUCAGGAAAACCAGAAGAUGGGGCUACCAAGACUGUGGCAUGAAAUUAUACCAUUGAAUGGAUGGCGUUCUAUUCUACUAACCAGUUCUUUGAGUUGGAGCAGUGCUGCUAUGUACAUGUAGCAGAAUAUGGACUGCCCCAUGAACAGUCAAGGAAUAUCUUUUUGGAUUGACCUUGUGAACCAAAUAUUAAUGAGCCAAAACAACUGUGACUGCAAAGGAUAAGGAGAACUCCUUGGAGAUCUCCUCAGUGUCUCUUUCCUUUAUUUGCAUUGUUAAAGCCAUAAUUUAAGAUGCAAGCUGUUGCUGCAGAAAUUUUCUCUAAGAAUUUUUAGUGGAACAACUAAUUAACAUUUUUCUCUUCUUUGUUUUAAACUUUUGUACUGAAUUACUACACAUGAUACUUAGACGUACCGCAGCUGCCCGUAUUCAAGAAUUAUUCAGAAGGAGAAAAGAAAAGAAGGAAAUGGAGGAACUAGAGACUCAAAACAUAAGAAAACCUACAUUAAAAAUGGUAUACAAAGGCCACCGUAACUCGAGGACAAUGAUCAAAGAAGCCAAUUUCUGGGGUAGUUAUUAUGUAAUUAGUGGCUCAGACUGUGGCCACAUAUUCAUCUGGGAUCGGCAAACAGCUGAAUUACUGAUGCUAUUGGAAGCUGACAACCAUGUGGUGAACUGUCUACAGCCUCAUCCUUUUGAUCCAAGAUUUCCACCUGGGUACAGGGAACCUGAACAUCAUUUCAGUCCACCUGGCACAGCAACAGGUUGGAACUUGGAACAUUUUCGUUGAAACACAGCACUUCCAUCUACAAAACACAGUUUUGGCAUCUUCUGGUAUUGAUUAUGAUGUCAAGAUCUGGACACCAUUAGAAGGAAUACCAACUUUUGACAGAAAACUUGCAGAAGAGGUGAUAAGUCGCAAUGAAUUGAUGUUGGAGGAGACUAGGAACACCAUCACAGUUCCAGCAUCAUUCAUGUUAAGAAUGCUGGCUUCACUCAAUCACAUUAGAACAGAUCGAUUGGAAGGUGACCGGUCCGAAGGCUCUGGUCAAGAGAAUGAAGAUGAUGAAUAAUUAUUUGUCUGCUUCAAGAACAAAAAGCAUCAAGAAAUUUGUAUAACAAAAAAAUCCAGUAUAUUUUCCCUACAAAGCCUUAGUGUUAUUUUAGUUCUUUUUUCUGGAAAAAUACUUUAAUAUGAAAAUUUCUUGGUGCAAAAUGUGUGCAUGAAUUAGGAUGAGGAAGGUGGGAAAGAAUAAGCAAGUUGCUUUUAAUUAUUAUGUUUUAUGGAUGAGAUGCUUGGAGGUUUCAAGUGCAAUAUAUUCUCUAGUGUGCAAACAUAUGUGCUUGGAUCAGUGUUAUGAGCAUAGAGAUUUACCAAACACUAGAAAAGGAGGGUCAAGAUGAAACCUUUCUAAAAUCUGCUGUUAUGCAUGUACACUGAGGGGAAAAAUUCAUUAAAACUUUUGGUUGUUUGAAAAUAAA
RNA transcript from Rhincodon typus (whale shark), 2288 nucleotides. It is a transcript of the gene named DDB1- and CUL4-associated factor 6-like, with no coding region annotated. The transcript is spliced from 6 exons. Lineage: Eukaryota; Metazoa; Chordata; Chondrichthyes; Orectolobiformes; Rhincodontidae. The record is from RefSeq and is a predicted model, not a curated record.